GAAGAAGGCCUUCGGGUUGUAAAGCACUUUCAGCGGGGAGGAAGGCGGUGAGGUUAAUAACCUCAUCGAUUGACGUUACCCGCAGAAGAAGCACCGGCUAACUCCGUGCCAGCAGCCGCGGUAAUACGGAGGGUGCAAGCGUUAAUCGGAAUUACUGGGCGUAAAGCGCACGCAGGCGGUCUGUCAAGUCGGAUGUGAAAUCCCCGGGCUCAACCUGGGAACUGCAUUCGAAACUGGCAGGCUAGAGUCUUGUAGAGGGGGGUAGAAUUCCAGGUGUAGCGGUGAAAUGCGUAGAGAUCUGGAGGAAUACCGGUGGCGAAGGCGGCCCCCUGGACAAAGACUGACGCUCAGGUGCGAAAGCGUGGGGGAGCAAACAGGAUUAGAUACCCUGGUAGUCCACGCUGUAAACGAUGUCGAUUUGGAGGUUGUGCCCUUGAGGCGUGGCUUCCGGAGCUAACGCGUUAAAUCGACCGCCUGGGGAGUACGGCCGCAAGGUUAAAACUCAAAUGAAUUGACGGGGGCCCGCACAAGCGGUGGAGCAUGUGGUUUAAUUCGAUGCAACGCGAAGAACCUUACCUGGUCUUGACAUCCACAGAACUU
This 600-nucleotide ribosomal RNA is filed under the name Klebsiella variicola. RNAcentral's name for it is "bacterial SSU rRNA". It matches the Rfam family "Bacterial small subunit ribosomal RNA", at positions 407 to 998 of the family's 1533-position model. The record is from RNAcentral. Lineage: Bacteria; Pseudomonadati; Pseudomonadota; Gammaproteobacteria; Enterobacterales; Enterobacteriaceae.